Molecule: ribosomal RNA, 491 nt
Filed under: uncultured bacterium
Lineage: Bacteria
Description: partial 16S ribosomal RNA
Rfam family: Bacterial small subunit ribosomal RNA
Source: RNAcentral
GAUGAACGCUGUCUACAGGCUUAACACAUGCAAGUCGAGGGGAAACGACGGGGAAGCUUGCUUCCCCGGGCGUCGACCGGCGCACGGGUGAGUAACGCGUAUCCAACCUGCCUCUGACUGAGGGAUAACCCGUCGCAAGUCGGCCUAAUACCUCAUGGCAUCGUCUGCGGGCAUCCAACGACGAUUAAAGAUUUCAUCGGUCAGGGAUGGGGAUGCGUCUGAUUAGCUUGUUGGCGGGGUAACGGCCCACCAAGGCUACGAUCAGUAGGGGUUCUGAGAGGAAGGUCCCCCACAUUGGAACUGAGACACGGUCCAAACUCCUACGGGAGGCAGCAGUGAGGAAUAUUGGUCAAUGGGCGGGAGCCUGAACCAGCCAAGUAGCGUGCAGGAUGACGGCCCUAUGGGUUGUAAACUGCUUUUAGGCGGGGAUAAAGUGAGGGACGUGUCCUUCAUUGCAGGUACCGCAUGAAUAAGGACCGGCUAAUUCCGUG